AAUACAACUUUCAGCAACGGAUCUCUUGGCUCUCGCAUCGAUGAAGAACGCAGCGAAAUGCGAUAAGUAAUGUGAAUUGCAGAAUUCAGUGAAUCAUCGAAUCUUUGAACGCACCUUGCGCCCUUUGGCUAUUCCGAAGGGCAUGCCUGUUUGAGUAU
RNAcentral lists this ribosomal RNA (158 nucleotides) under uncultured Tomentella. Its description in RNAcentral is "5.8S ribosomal RNA". It matches the Rfam family "5.8S ribosomal RNA". From Rfam's summary of the family: 5.8S ribosomal RNA (5.8S rRNA) is a component of the large subunit of the eukaryotic ribosome. It is transcribed by RNA polymerase I as part of the 45S precursor that also contains 18S and 28S rRNA. Lineage: Eukaryota; Fungi; Basidiomycota; Agaricomycetes; Thelephorales; Thelephoraceae. The record is from RNAcentral.